UCACACCCACCCAGCUGCCACUCCCGAC
Molecule: non-coding RNA, 28 nt
Filed under: Mus musculus (house mouse)
Lineage: Eukaryota; Metazoa; Chordata; Mammalia; Rodentia; Muridae
Source: RNAcentral